AUUGAACGCUGGCGGCAGGCUUAACACAUGCAAGUCGAACGAGUCGCGGAAGGGUGAGUAAUGCUUGGGAAUCUAGCUUAUGGAUGGGGAUAACUACGGGAAACUGUAGCUAAUACCGCGUACCAUAGGAUGAGCCCAAGUGGGAUUAGGUAGUUGGGGAGGUAAAGGCGCACCACGCCGACGAUCGCUAGCUGGGCUGAGAGGAUGACCAGCCGCAUGGGGACUGAGACACGGCCCAGACGCCUACGGGAGGCAGCAGUGGGGAAUAUUGCACAAUGGGGGCAACCUGACGCAGCCAUGCCGGGUGGAGGAAGACGGCCUUCGGGUUGUAAAGUGCUUUCGGUAGCGAGGCGUUAGCUACAUAAGAAGCACCGGCUAACUCCGUGCCAGCCGCCGCGGUAAUUC
Molecule: ribosomal RNA, 405 nt
Filed under: uncultured bacterium
Lineage: Bacteria
Description: partial 16S ribosomal RNA
Rfam family: Bacterial small subunit ribosomal RNA
Source: RNAcentral